GUCAGGAUGGUGUAGUGAUUUGAGUGUCGGACUAUGACUCAGAAGACCAGGGUUCAAAUCCCUGCUCAGCUG
Molecule: non-coding RNA, 72 nt
Organism: Phrynosoma platyrhinos (Desert horned lizard)
Lineage: Eukaryota; Metazoa; Chordata; Lepidosauria; Squamata; Phrynosomatidae
Source: the annotation of a GenBank genome assembly